GUCUCUCUUUACUAGAACUCCACAACUCCACAGCAGCACAGAAAAAACAACCAAUCAGAAAAAAGUUAGGUACUUUAAAACUCCCCUCCCCAUGCAUCAUUUCCUCUUUCAAGCUGCGACAAAAACAGAACAAAAGGCAGAAAACCUAAUGGGGAAGAAACGAAGUCCUAGAUACAAUGAAUACAACAAUGUCCACUAUCCGAGAAGAACUGUCAAACCAGAUAGCAUUGAUGGACUGUAAACUGAAACGAGAGAAAAACAGAAUCGAACAGGUUGGUUAUCCAAUGAAAUGUACUCUGAACAAACAUGUAGG
This 313-nucleotide long non-coding RNA is filed under the name Pelobates cultripes (western spadefoot toad). The record is from RNAcentral. Lineage: Eukaryota; Metazoa; Chordata; Amphibia; Anura; Pelobatidae.